RNAcentral lists this long non-coding RNA (800 nucleotides) under Mytilus galloprovincialis (Mediterranean mussel). Lineage: Eukaryota; Metazoa; Mollusca; Bivalvia; Mytilida; Mytilidae. The record is from RNAcentral.
AGUAGCUCCAACCCGUUCCUUCGGGCUAAGCUAUAGAUAGAACGGCGGACCAGUUUAACUGUUUAAUGUACUUGUUGGACUUCUUCAUCCACUGUCAUCAGAUCUAGACAUGUCAGAUAAUUACUUACGUGGAAUCUUGAAGCCUUCUGUUGAUUGUAUUAAUAUCAGUUAUUGUGUGCUUUUCUGUUGUUGCAUCAUCAUUUCUAAUAAUCAUAGGAGUGUUCUUUUUCCUAUUUUUCCGACUUUUUACAAGCUGAAAGUCUGACAUUCUUCUUUGAAGAUUUUCGGUAUUCGACACUACCUGCAGUGUAAAAUGCUGAACCAAACCCGUAUUAAUAAUUACUAACACGAAUUGUUUCCGGAUAAUUUUCAACUCUUUAAUAUUUUUUUUUUUUUUUUUUUUUUUUUUUUUUUAGCUCACCUGAACGAAAAAUUUAUACACCUUUACUGCUAGGAUUUCAAACUCCUGUGGAACAAGAGAGCUUUUCAAAUCCCUUGCCGUCAGUCCGUCGUCGUCCGUUUACUUUUACAAAAAAAUAAAUAAAUUUGGUAUAUUUGCUGUCUUCUGAUAGGUUAAAAUUAUUAGUUUUAUUUUCAAUGUUGUCAAUUUUGAUGGCGACACGCCCACUCUGACGUUGAGUAUUCAUACGCCAACAUGUGUGUACGUUGUUUUUGUUAAUAUAAAAAGUUCUUUGAGCCUUAUUUUUGAUAGAAAUUUAUUUAUAAUGAAUGGCAAUAAUUUAUUUUGAUUUUAUUGAACCAUAAAACUAAUUUUUGACUCUUCACAUUUUACAUAAUCC